AUGCAGCCCUCUGAACACACCACCUUCAUGAUCCUCCUCCUCCUCUACUCCUCCUCCUCUACUCCUCCUCUACUCCUCCUCCUCUACUCCUCCUCUACUCCUCCUCCUCUACUCCUCCUCUACUCCUCCUCCUCCUCCUCUACUCCUCCUCUCCUCCUCCUCUACUCCUCCUCUACUCCUCCUCCUCCUCUACUCCUCCUCCUCCUCUACUCCUCCUCCUCUACUCCUCCUCCUCUACUCCUCCUCUACUCCUCCUCUACUCCUCCCCUACUCCUCCCCUACUCCUCCCCACACCGGCCCUCCUCCUCCCCUACUCCUCCUCCCCUACUCCUCCCCACACCGGCCCUCCUGCUCCCUCCUCCUCCUCUACUCCUCCUCUACUCCUCCUCUACUCCUCCCCUACUCCUCCCCACACCGGCCCUCCUCCUCCACUACUCCUCCUCUACUCCUCCCCUACUCCUCCCCACACCGGCCCUCCUGCUCCCUCCUCCUCCUCUACUCCUCCUCUACUCCUCCCCACACCGGCCCUCCUGCUCCCUCCUCCUCCUCUACUCCUCCUCUACUCCUCCUCUACUCCUCCCCUACUCCUCCCCACACCGGCCCUCCUCCUCCACUACUCCUCCUCUACUCCUCCCCUACUCCUCCCCACACCGGCCCUCCUCCUCCUCUACUCCUCCCCUACUCCUCCCCACACCGGCCCUCCUCCUCCACUACUCCUCCUCUACUCCUCCCCUACUCCUCCCCACACCGGCCCUCCUGCUCCCUCCUCCUCCCCUCGAUGCGUCUCAGUUUGCUCUGCAGCCUGCGUCCGUGUCUCCCUCUCAUCAGCCUCAGCAGGGUCUUCCUCAGCGCCGGGGGCGGGGCCUCCAGCGCCCAGCGGGUCAGGAGGAGGCGGAGCUCCCCCGGCUCCUCCCCCCCGGGGAGCGGGGCGGCCAGGAGCAGCCUGAGCCUGGACACCGGGAUGUUCUGGUGGAGCAGGAACCCCGGGAGGAGGUCCCUCAGAUAGUCCACAGACUCUGCAACAACAACACCCUUACUAUGUGUGUCACGUAA
Molecule: long non-coding RNA, 1053 nt
Filed under: Gadus morhua (Atlantic cod)
Lineage: Eukaryota; Metazoa; Chordata; Actinopteri; Gadiformes; Gadidae
Description: lncRNA (ENSGMOG00000022533.1)
Source: RNAcentral